AGCCAACUGAAUCCAUGCUGAGGUUUCGUCAGACACAAGACCACCGAUGCUGAUGAGACUCCGAAGAUAAGUGAAGCG
Molecule: non-coding RNA, 78 nt
Organism: Schistosoma mansoni
Lineage: Eukaryota; Metazoa; Platyhelminthes; Trematoda; Strigeidida; Schistosomatidae
Source: Rfam